GCUCAGGUGCGAAAGCGUGGGGAGCAAACAGGAUUAGAUACCCUGGUAGUCCACGCCGUAAACGAUGUCUACUUGGAGGUUGUGCCCUUGAGGCGUGGCUUCCGGAGCUAACGCGUUAAGUAGACCGCCUGGGGAGUACGGCCGCAAGGUUAAAACUCAAAUGAAUUGACGGGGGCCCGCACAAGCGGUGGAGCAUGUGGUUUAAUUCGAUGCAACGCGAAGAACCUUACCUGGUCUUGACAUCCACAGAACUUUCCAGAGAUGGAUUGGUGCCUUCGGGAACUGUGAGACAGGUGCUGCAUGGCUGUCGUCAGCUCGUGUUGUGAAAUGUUGGGUUAAGUCCCGCAACGAGCGCAACCCUUAUCCUUUGUUGCCAGCGAUUAGG
This 385-nucleotide ribosomal RNA is filed under the name Salmonella enterica. RNAcentral describes it as "bacterial SSU rRNA". It matches the Rfam family "Bacterial small subunit ribosomal RNA", at positions 745 to 1129 of the family's 1533-position model. RNAcentral also lists the same sequence under 1 other name. The record is from RNAcentral. Lineage: Bacteria; Pseudomonadati; Pseudomonadota; Gammaproteobacteria; Enterobacterales; Enterobacteriaceae.